UGAGUACGAGCUGCUACGGCAGCGAAGUGGGUGAUGUCAAGCUUCCAAGAAAAGCCCUAUACCCGUUAAGGCAUGAUGGCCUGUACCCGAAACCGACACAGGUGGGGUGGUAGAGAAUACCGAGGGGCGCGAGAUAACUCUCUCUAAGGAACUCGGCAAAAUGGCCCCGUAACUUCGGGAGAAGGGGUGCCACCGCAAGGUGGUCGCAGUGAAGAGGCCCAGGCGACUGUUUACCAAAAACACAGGUCUCCGCUAAGUCGCAAGACGAUGUAUGGGGGCUGACGCCUGCCCAGUGCCGGAAGGUUAAGGAAGCUGGUCAGCGUAAGCGAAGCUAGCGACUGAAGCCCCGGUGAACGGCGGCCGUAACAAUAACGGUCCUAAGGUAGCGAAAUUCCUUGUCGGGUAAGUUCCGACCCGCACGAAAGGCGUAACGAUCUGGGCGCUGUCUCGGAGAGAGGCUCGGCGAAAUAGAAUUGUCUGUGAAGAUGCGGACUACGUGCACCCGGACAGAAAGACCCUAUGAAGCUUUACUGUAGCUUGGUAUUGUGCUCGGGCUCGGAAUGCGCAGGAUAGGUGGGAGGCUAUGAACCAUUGCUUGUGGGUGAUGGUGAGCCACUGGUGAGAUACCACUCUUUCCGAGCUAGAGUUCUAACAGCCACCCGUUAUCCGGGGGCUGGACAGUAUCAGGUGGGCAGUUUUGACUGGGGCGGUCGCCUCCUAAAAGGUAACGGAGGCGCGCAAAGGUUUGCUCAGGCUGGUUGGAAAUCAGCCGACGAGUGUAAAAGCAGAAGCAAGCUUGACUGUGAGACCUACAAGUCGAACAGGGAGGAAACUCGGCUUUAGUGAUCCGACGGUUCUGCGUGGAAGGGCCGUCGCUCAACGGAUAAAAGUUACUCUAGGGAUAACAGGCUGAUCUCCCCCAAGAGUUCACAUCGACGGGGAGGUUUGGCACCUCGAUGUCGGCUCAUCGCAACCUGGGGCUGAAGUCGGUCCCAAGGGUUGGGCUGUUCGCCCAUUAAAGCGGUACGCGAGCUGGGUUCAGAACGUCGUGAGACAGUUCGGUCCAUAUCCGGUGCAUGCGCAGGAAUAUUGAGAGGAUUUCUCCCUAGUACGAGAGGACCGGGAGGAACGCACCUCUGGUGUACCAGUUAUCGUGCCAACGGUAAACGCUGGGUAGCCAUGUGCGGAGAGGAUAACCGCUGAAAGCAUCUAAGUGGGAAGCCCACCUCAAGAUGAGUAUUCCCAUGGGGUAACCCAGUAAGGUCACGGGAAGAACACCCGUUGAUAGGCUCUACGUGGAAGCGCAGUAAUGUGUGAAGCGGAGGAGUACUAAUAGACCGAGGGCUUGACC
Molecule: ribosomal RNA, 1351 nt
Filed under: metagenome
Description: bacterial LSU rRNA
Rfam family: Bacterial large subunit ribosomal RNA
Source: RNAcentral